CCUACGGGCGGCAGCAGUGGGGAAUAUUGGACAAUGGGCGAAAGCCUGAUCCAGCCAUGCCGCGUGUGUGAAGAAGGCCUUCGGGUUGUAAAGCACUUUCAGUGGGGAAGAAAGCCUUGGGGCUAAUACCCUCGAGGAAGGACAUCACCCACAGAAGAAGCACCGGCUAACUCCGUGCCAGCAGCCGCGGUGAAUACGGAGGGUGCGAGCGUUAAUCGGAAUUACUGGGCGUAAAGCGCGCGUAGGCGGUCUGAUAAGCCGGUUGUGAAAGCCCCGGGCUCAACCUGGGAACGGCAUCCGGAACUGUCAGGCUAGAGUGCAGGAGAGGAAGGUAGAAUUCCCGGUGUAGCGGUGAAAUGCGUAGAGAUCGGGAGGAAUACCAGUGGCGAAGGCGGCCUUCUGGACUGACACUGACGCUGAGGUGCGAAAGCGUGGGUAGCAAACAGGAUUAGAUACCCCAGUAGUC
This 466-nucleotide ribosomal RNA is filed under the name Vreelandella stevensii. Its description in RNAcentral is "partial 16S ribosomal RNA". It matches the Rfam family "Bacterial small subunit ribosomal RNA", at positions 338 to 795 of the family's 1533-position model. The record is from RNAcentral. Lineage: Bacteria; Pseudomonadati; Pseudomonadota; Gammaproteobacteria; Oceanospirillales; Halomonadaceae.